GAUGAACGCUGGCGGCGUGCCUAAUACAUGCAAGUCGAGCGAACGGACGAGAAGCUUGCUUCUCUGAUGUUAGCGGCGGACGGGUGAGUAACACGUGGAUAACCUACCUAUAAGACUGGGAUAACUUCGGGAAACCGGAGCUAAUACCGGAUAAUAUUUUGAACCGCAUGGUUCAACAGUGAAAGACGGUCUUGCUGUCACUUAUAGAUGGAUCCGCGCUGCAUUAGCUAGUUGGUAAGGUAACGGCUUACCAAGGCAACGAUGCAUAGCCGACCUGAGAGGGUGAUCGGACACACUGGAAGUGAGACACGGUACAGACUCCUACGGGAGGAAGCAGUAGGGAAUCUUACGCAAUGGGCGAAAGCCUGACGGAGCAAAGCCGCGUGAGUGAUGAAGGUCUUAGGAUCGGAAAACUCUGUUAUUAGGGAAGAACAUAUGUGUAAGUAACUGUGAACAUCUUGACGGUACCUAAUCAGAAAGCCACGGUUAACUACGUG
This 497-nucleotide ribosomal RNA is filed under the name uncultured bacterium. Its description in RNAcentral is "partial 16S ribosomal RNA". It matches the Rfam family "Bacterial small subunit ribosomal RNA", at positions 28 to 507 of the family's 1533-position model. The record is from RNAcentral.